AGGGUGAUGCUUCAACUUGUGUGUCAAAUAGUCAGUGAAUUCGGGCUUUCCAUUCAUCACUUCAGCAAAAAUCGCCGAUAAAACUUCAGACAUGACAGCAAGAAUGUUGGAAUCAAACAGGACCAUUGAUGCCAUACCAGAACCAACUGCUGUACCAUUCACAAGUGCAAGUCCUUCUUUAGGCUGCAACUCGAAAAAUCCACCACUAACACCAGCCACGCGGAACGCUUCCUCAGCAUUAAGUUUCUCACCAUUUGGUCCAACAGCCUUGGAAUUAGGCCUGCCAGUGAGCAAACCAGCAAUGUAUGACAACGGGACAAGAUCACCCGAGGCAGUGAUCGUACCACGGAGGGGCAAACACGGGGUGAUGUUGCUGUU
Solanum verrucosum is the source of this 378-nucleotide long non-coding RNA. RefSeq lists it as uncharacterized. Lineage: Eukaryota; Viridiplantae; Streptophyta; Magnoliopsida; Solanales; Solanaceae. The transcript is spliced from 2 exons. The record is from RefSeq and is a predicted model, not a curated record.